ACGAACGCUGGCGGCGUGCUUAACACAUGCAAGUCGAGCGGUAAGGCCCUUUCGGGGGUACACGAGCGGCGAACGGGUGAGUAACACGUGGGUGGCCUGCCCUCAGCUCUGGGAUAAGCCUGGGAAACCGGGUCUAAUACCGGAUAUGACUCCAUGACGCAUGUUGUGGGGUGGAAAGCCUUGUGCGGCUGAGGAUGGGCCCGCGGCCUAUCAGCUUGUUGGUGGGGUGAUGGCCUACCAAGGCGACGACGGGUAGCCGGCCUGAGAGGGCGACCGGCCACACUGGGACUGAGACACGGCCCAGACUCCUACGGGAGGCAGCAGUGGGGAAUCUUGCGCAAUGGGCGAAAGCCUGACGCAGCGACGCCGCGUGAGGGAUGACGGCC
RNAcentral lists this ribosomal RNA (386 nucleotides) under uncultured bacterium. RNAcentral's name for it is "bacterial SSU rRNA". It matches the Rfam family "Bacterial small subunit ribosomal RNA", at positions 29 to 416 of the family's 1533-position model. The record is from RNAcentral.